GUGAACGCUGGCGGCGUGCCUAAUACAUGCAAGUCGAGCGAACUCUGGUAACUGAAUGAAGGUGCUUGCACCUGAGUGAUGAUACAUUUGAGUGAGCGGCGGAUGGGUGAGUAACACGUGGGUAACCUGCCCUAAAGUGGGGGAUAACAUCUGGAAACAGGUGCUAAUACCGCAUAACAACAACUUCCACAUGGAGGAUGUUUGAAAGAUGGUUCUGCUAUCGCUUUAGGAUGGACCCGCGGCGUAWUAGUUAGUUGGUGAGGUAACGGCUCACCAAGACGAUGAUACGUAGCCGGCCUGAGAGGGUAAUCGGCCACAUUGGGACUGAGACACGGCCCAAACUCCUACGGGAGGCAGCAGUAGGGAAUCUUCCACAAUGGACGAAAGUCUGAUGGAGCAACGCCGCGUGAGUGAAGAAGGUUUUCGGAUCGUAAAACUCUGUUGUUGAAGAAGAACAUGCGUGAGAGUAACUGUUCAUGUAUUGACGGUAUUCAACCAGAAAGCCACGGCUAACUACGUGCCAGCAGCCGCGGUAAUACGUAGGUGGCAAGCGUUGUCCGGAAUUAUUGGGCGUAAAGCGAGUGCAGGCGGUUUAUUAGGUCUGAUGUGAAUGCCCUCGGCUCAACCGAGGAAGUGCAUCGGAAACCGGUAAACUUGAGUGCAGAAGAGRAGAGUGGAACUCCAUGUGUAGCGGUGGAAUGCGUAGAUAUAUGGAAGAACACCAGUGGCGAAGGCGGCUCUCUGGUCUGUAACUGACGCUGAGGCUCGAAAGCGUGGGUAGCAAACAGGAUUAGAUACCCUGGUAGUCCACGCCGUAAACGAUGAGUGCUAAGUGUUGGAGGGUUUCCGCCCUUCAGUGCUGCAGCUAACGCAUUAAGCACUCCGCCUGGGGAGUACGACCGCAAGA
RNAcentral lists this ribosomal RNA (907 nucleotides) under uncultured Lactobacillus sp. RNAcentral describes it as "bacterial SSU rRNA". It matches the Rfam family "Bacterial small subunit ribosomal RNA", at positions 29 to 893 of the family's 1533-position model. The record is from RNAcentral. Lineage: Bacteria; Bacillati; Bacillota; Bacilli; Lactobacillales; Lactobacillaceae.